RNAcentral lists this ribosomal RNA (579 nucleotides) under Platypelis sp. 8 MV-2009. Its description in RNAcentral is "partial 16S ribosomal RNA". The stretch from base 1 to 428 matches the Rfam family "Bacterial large subunit ribosomal RNA", at positions 688 to 1300 of the family's 2925-position model. Lineage: Eukaryota; Metazoa; Chordata; Amphibia; Anura; Microhylidae. The record is from RNAcentral.
CCAAGCAAAACGCUCUUGAAGUUUGACCCCCCGAAACUAAGCGAGCUACUCCAAAGCAGCCUCACAGGGCCACCCCGUCUCUGUAGCAAAAGAGUGGAAAGACUUUAGAGUAGAAGUGACACACCUACCGAGCUUAGAGAUAGCUGGUUAUUCAAGAAAGGGAUUUUAGUCCACCUCUAAGUUUUCCAAGUACUAUUAAACACCCAAUAAACUUAGAAGCCAUUCAAAUAAGGUACAGCCUGUUUGAAAAAGGAGACAGCCUACAAUACAGGGUAACGACCUACACACGUGACUAAGUCAGCCUAAGAGCAGCUAACUUCUAAAAAGCGUCCAAGCUUCAUCACAACUCCUAACCAAUCCCACAGUCGACUCGCAACCCCCAACCACUACUGAAUACUCCCAUACCCCUAUGGGAAAUAUAAUGCUAGAACUAGUAACAAGAAGAAGACCUUCUCCAAAAUGUAAGUAUAAGCCAAAAUGAACCCUCGCCGGCGUCUACCGCCAAAAGCCUCAGUAUCAACACCACAAGAAAAUCAUACUCCCACUGGCGUUAACCUUACACUAGAACAUUCCCGGAAA